ACGAAGCAAUAAAGACGUAGAAUUUAAGAAGAAAAUCUUUUUCGUCUCUAGGGCAAACAUUCUGCAGGAUAAGUGCAGAAGAAAAGUUAUUAUUAUUUCCUCGAGUACUAAUUCAAUAAUUGAAAUGAAUUUUUAUUUUUACGAAAGUAAACAUUGUAGCGGCGGUUUUUAACGUUUGUUCGAAAUUCACAGUUUGUUUCUUGCGCUCUUGGAUCGUGUCGGGUUUUUAUGCCGUUUGCAAAAGAAUUUUCAGUUCCUUUCCAAUGUUUGUUAUCAAGCUGGAGAGACUCCCAGGAGCAGCUGUUCCAGUGGCUUAUACGAAACAUCCUUCAAUUUAUAUGCUAAUUAAAUGACGAAAUUUGAUACACGUAAUGCAUCCGUCUUUUAUUUACAAAAACAGAAUUUUUUGUUUUGCUUUAUGUUGAUAUAGAAGCAAUGAAAAGCAAGUAUUGAAAAUAUUCAUUUAAAAAACUAUAUACAGUAUAUCUUAGAAAGUGUGGCAAUUAUUUAUAGUCUUAAUGCCCUCUUAUUCUUGAAAUAUCAUUAAAAAUCCUAAUAUUUCAGAAUGCAAUAAAAAUUUUUCUUGAAUUGAAAAACUGCAUUCAAAACCAGCAAUGUUGACUAUUUUUCCAUAUUUUAUUCUUUGUAAGAGUUUUUCUGUAGGUGUAUUUCACUAUUUUCCUGUAAUAAAUUUAUAAUGUGCAAAUCUAAACUAAAGCAUAAACUAAUAACUAUAGUAUCUUUUACAUUUUUUAUCAUCAAUAUAUUAUAUUCUUCUGAUUAAUUGCUAUGUUAAUAGGUUUUAGAAUUUAUUAGAUUAAUCAAUAAAGCUGCAUCUACUUUAAAAUCACAGAAGGUGAAAGUUGCAGAAACAUAAAAUAAAUUUUUAAAUUACAUAAUGUUUGUAACAGAAGAGGAAUUAUUAGCUACAUAAUGAAUUAUAUCAUCUCAACAUGUAGUUAAUGAUAAAGCAGUUAGCAAGAUACAUAAAAUAUUCAAAUAAUAAAUGAAAUUAUGAUUUAUAUUUUAUAUUAAAAGUUCUUUACAAAUGAUACAAAUGAUCAUAUUGUUUUGAAUUUAAUUUUCAGAAUUAUUAAGAAAUACAUUUUAAUUUUUUCAAAUUCUGAACAGACGCAAAUUUUGAAAUAAUCAUUCUAU
Centruroides sculpturatus (bark scorpion) is the source of this 1158-nucleotide long non-coding RNA. RefSeq lists it as uncharacterized. The transcript has 3 exons. The record is from RefSeq and is a predicted model, not a curated record. Lineage: Eukaryota; Metazoa; Arthropoda; Arachnida; Scorpiones; Buthidae.